Molecule: transfer RNA, 76 nt
Filed under: Chloroflexota bacterium
Lineage: Bacteria; Bacillati; Chloroflexota
Description: Chloroflexi bacterium tRNA-Ala
Rfam family: tRNA
About the family: Transfer RNA (tRNA) molecules are approximately 80 nucleotides in length.
Source: RNAcentral
GGGCCUGUAGCUCAGCUGGGAGAGCGCGCGGUUCGCAUCCGCGAGGUCAGGGGUUCGAGUCCCCUCAGGUCCACCA